UGGGGAAUAUUGCACAAUGGGCUACAUACUGAUGCAGCGACGCCGCGUGAGGGAUGACGGCCUUCGGGUUGUAAACCUCUUUCAGCAGGGACGAAGCGCAAGUGACGGUACCUGCAGAAGAAGCACCGGCUAACUACGUGCCAGCAGCCGCGGUAAUACGUAGGGUGCAAGCGUUGUCCGGAAUUACUGGGCGUAAAGAGUUCGUAGGCGGUUUGUCGCGUCGUUUGUGAAAACCAGCAGCUCAACUGCUGGCUUGCAGGCGAUACGGGCAGACUUGAGUACUGCAGGGGAGACUGGAAUUCCUGGUGUAGCGGUGAAAUGCGCAGAUAUCAGGAGGAACACCGGUGGCGAAGGCGGGUCUCUGGGCAGUAACUGACGCUGAGGAACGAAAGCGUGGGUAGCGAACAGG
Molecule: ribosomal RNA, 409 nt
Filed under: bacterium
Lineage: Bacteria
Description: partial 16S ribosomal RNA
Rfam family: Bacterial small subunit ribosomal RNA
Source: RNAcentral